Long non-coding RNA from Haliaeetus leucocephalus (bald eagle), 1676 nucleotides. RefSeq lists it as uncharacterized. The record is from RefSeq and is a predicted model, not a curated record. NCBI's taxonomy places the organism in Eukaryota, Metazoa, Chordata, Aves, Accipitriformes, Accipitridae. The transcript has 3 exons.
UCGUCGGUGAGCACCGUAAAACCUCUUCCGUGUGCAGGGCUCACUGUGCCGCAGAUUGUCCUCUUUUUUUUUUUUUUUUAACAAAAUGCUGCUUACCUUGUGACACAAGAGAAUCACCAGGAUAUCCCAAACAGCUGUUUGAGCUGCAGUCGAGCUCGACUCCUCCGGACCAACUCUGAGCCAGGCUCCAGAGCUCACGGGGAGGCUCAGGCAGGCAAGAUCUCCCCUCGGCCGGGAAGGCGAAGUGGGGACGAGCUCCCUGUCUGUUACUGAUCCACUCAGAGGUUUCAAAGGUCCCCAAAUGCCAUCGGUCUGCGUCUGCCAGGAGGUUUGGAUGCAGGAGCUGGAACGAGCCUAUGCUGGGAGACCUGCCAUUCUUAAACACCUUCUGAAGUGGGGAUCGGAGGUGCUAAGAACUACAUUUCAUGGUAUUUGUGAAGUGUAGCACCCACCGCCGGAGUUAGUGCCGUCGGACACGCGCCUGCGGUUGUCCUGCCCCAGAAGAAAACGAGAAUCACGGGCAGCAUGGAUACAGAGAGGGAAUCACUCAUUCGGGGAAAUAAAUCGCUGGAAAGAAGCGCCCGGGAUGAACGAGCAGGACGCAGGGUUCAGCGCUGCUCUUCCCAGCCAGCGAGAUCCUGAUUAACUCGUUACCUCUCGCCGUGCCUUGCCGCCGGUCUGGCUCGGGGCGGCGCGGCGGUGCCUCCCUCCGCAGCCGCACCGGGCGCUGGCUCUGCCGGAUGAUGUCAUGGCAGAGGGGAAGGGAGCGCGGGUGGCUACUGGGCUCUUGAGUGAGUAGCCCUCGAAUAGUUUCCUUUUUUCCUGCCCGUCGAUGCCAGCGUACGCCCAAGAGCAGGCUGCUUUUUGCCAGGCUCGUGUUAAAAAUCUGGCGUGAUCCCUAAAGCCAAGUCCCUUGGCUGCAGCCCCUUUAAACCCCCCGAUUCUGUACAAACCCACCUGCGCUGCCCACCCUGAGCAGAGCAGUGCUGGGGGCACCUUUGUAUUCUCCUCCCCCAGAUCUCAACCCCUCUAUUUUUUUUCAUAAAAGGCCAUUUUUCCCUCCUGCUGUAGCCUGAGGUGGGGGGUUCCCCCAGCUGAUCCCCUGGCUCUCCAGGUACAAGUUUCAUUAACGCACACUCCUAGUUCUGAGCCCAGUUGCCAUCGAUUACACUACAGCACAAACCAGAGCAGACUCUGGCCCCUCCAUUACUUUGCCCUUUGAAUUUACCUGUUUUCCCUUCAAAAAACCCCACAGCUGCCUGGACCUUCUCCUGCUUUUUUUCUUCUCCUUCCCCCUCUCAGGUACAGCAGCAGGGAAGUAAAAGGUUGAGCUGUCACAUUCACCUUCCACUGAUCCCUCCUCGUCAGCCAUUUCAGAGGCCAAGUGCUGACUACCAAAACUUUUCCCUGGGCUGCUCCAAAACUUUUAAGUUUUUUCCCCUCACUUGUAGCUUAGAAGUAUAUUUUUAGGCAGUUUUUGCCCAGAUCUCAGUUAACUGACCUGGGAGGAAAGAAAGUUAAGUUUAAGCAAGCCUUUAGGCAAAGAAACAUACUUUGGCUUAAUAGGUUAGAGAGGUGUCAGCAGCAUCCAUCAUGCACAUUAAGAGCUGUUAUCGCUUUUUCCCAGGUAUUUUUAACCAUUGCAGCUGAUUGAGCAGGCUUAGAAUUUAAAAUAA